This 7634-nucleotide long non-coding RNA is filed under the name Sorghum bicolor (sorghum). RNAcentral describes it as "long non-coding RNA (SBIC_LNC006779)". Lineage: Eukaryota; Viridiplantae; Streptophyta; Magnoliopsida; Poales; Poaceae. The record is from RNAcentral.
CCGCCAACUUCUACGUGAUUCUGACUUGAUCUCAUUUAGUCUCUUUGAUCCCUAUGUUGAUAUUUGGUAACGCCAUCAGGAAAUGAUCCGCAAGCGCACGAAUAUCGGUGAGCACUUCACCCAGGAGGUUAUCUAGAGUAUCGUAUUUAUAUUUUUACCACUGGGAGAAAGCGUGCAUCUGACUAACCAAAUCUAUUGCUACUACCCUUUAGGCUACAAACAAUGUGACUCGAUGUGAGUGAUGUAUAGAGAAGACUACAACCGCACUCUCGUUCUAACCUUGGUAAGGAUGAUCUACUGUUCUAUUGGGGAGGCUCACGGAAUCUAGACACCACAAAGGAUGUUCGACCCGCACCUAUAAACCCUAUCGAUCAUGCUAACGGGAUAUGGGCUACAAAGGUAACUCAGAAAUGUCACGUUCCUCGCUACUACCACGGUCUAGCUAGUCAGGGGAUAUCUAUGAGUAUCCUAGCCCAAACACCAUGUUUACGCUAGAGAUGAUUACUCUAAACUCUAUGCGAAGAUAUCAAAAUAAACUCAUAAGCCAAAGAACAAUAAAACAAAGAACUUACUAGAAUUUAGAAGUCGAAAUACUGAAGAAUCCUAGGAGCAAGCCUCGGGUUAGGAGACUUGAUCCCGCAGGUACAACCUCGGAGUAGACACCGACAGGCCGGACUUCCUCCGAUCUACACCUCCACUCUAUCUCUCUCAAUCUAGUAGAACUAAGUCUACUCUCACAAUGGAUGCUACACCCUAUAAGGUGGGAACCCUAAGGAACCUCUCUCUCUGAAUCCUCUCUGGAAAAUAUGCUAAUGAAUAAUUGGAUUGCCCUCCUCCAAGGGCCAGGGGCCUGCUUAUAUAGUCCCCUCAAGUGAACGUGGGCCGUCGGAUCAAACCGACAUUGAUUGAACGUUUCUCCUUGAUCCUUUAGGUAGGUGGAGCAUAAUCCGCGAGAUUAAACGUGAUUGGCCACAACACCUAGGCAGGCGCCCAAGGGGGGAGGGCGGGCGCCCUGCCCCCGGGCCCGCUCGGCCUCCCAUUCGUUCCCGUGGCUUCUGGACUCUUCUAGAUGAUAGAAAAUUGCACGGCGCGUUAAUAUCUCUAUGUAAACCCGUCAUGUGGGCCUUUCCUCCGUAUUUCCUGAUAACCCCCUGUAGAAAUAGACAAACACCAAAACUCGUGGAAUUCUGUCAGAUAAAACCCUAAGUCUGGGUGUUGGUUGCAUUUGGAUCCUUUUCUUUAUUUAUUUGAUGAUUAAAUUUGAUACUCAAGGACCGUCCACAAACUCCCCAAGCUUACCUCUUGCAAGGAUGGACUCAAGAGUUUCUGCAGUGGUUUCAUGCCUUAAAGGUACACAUGCGUUCAAACAAGAUCUCAUCUCUACGUUAGGGUAAACUGUUAAGACUUAAAACUUACUCAUUUUACCUUUCACCUUGGGGCUUGCAACCAUCACUUAUGUCUUGAGCAAUUAAAAGAUAGAGUAGUCAAGUCAAGCGCCAUGUCUCUUGUUCUUUGAUCAAGUAUAGCUCUGGAGUUUUUAUAGAUUUUCAAAAUAAAACUCAGAGAUUCCUUGUAUGACUCUCUCAAUUCUCUCUUUUGUGGUAUUUCUGGAUCCUUACUAAGGCAGUGAUGGUAUAUGCCUUCUCUUAAAGUAUGUAGUAUUUGUGGUAUGAGGCAUAGUGACAUUGCCUUCUCUCUCAUCCUACUCCAAUGAGGCUUUGAUAUCUGGAGCUCAUAGGUGGGAGAUAAAGUAUACAUACUUAUAAGAUAUUUAUUGCAUAGUCAAACCAUGGAUCCAGAGAAACAAGUCAAUAAGUCAAAUCAAGAUGUGCAUGUGUGGUGAAUGAAUGGUGUAUGGUGAUGAUGGUGAAAACAAUGGUGAAAGUCUAAUUCUACUUUUGCUCUUUUGAGGGGAUACACACCUUUCUUGCACUUUUGAAACUUUUUGAGGAGAAUGAGAUGCUCUCUAUAUAUAUUUUUUUCUUUUCUCUCAGGUGGGUAUCUUGUACCCCUAAUUCUACUGUCGGACAAUUGUCCAUUUUUACCUCUCAUCUCACUUUUUCUUUUCUUCGAGGUUCCGGGCACUUGACCCUUUUUAUUUCCUCGUAUUAUUUCUCUCUCUCUUUUUUCUUUUCUUUUUUUACUAGAGCACUCAUCUCCUGAAAUAAUAUAGCAAGUGGUAGUAACCAAGAUAACUCGAGCAUUUAUUUUAUAGGGAAAAACAGAAAUAGGAGAAUGUUUUUGGCUAUUCUCUCUCGGAUUAGGAGUAGAAUACUUUUGGGUGGCUCUGGAGAUGGAACUGACUGGAUAUAUGUGGAUGCGUACAACCGGAGUAGAAGUAGCAUGUAUGAGUGAACGUGCAAGUGAAUCUUGAUUUUAACCGCAUGACAAGCUCCUAAGGGUCUACACAGCUUGACCACACUCAAUGCUCAUAAGCAGUAAAAAAGUAAAUGUGUGGCUCAAAGUCUAGCAAGCAUGUAUAUAUGGCUGUGGUAGGAAUUUAAACUCUCAUCAUACAGGAACUCAUCAUGCAAUAUUUUAAAGAUUUUCAAAGAUAAAAUUCUCCAGAAUUCUAGCAUCUCUAGGAACAGAUAAAUAGCAGCUGAACCUUCCCAUAUCAUAUCCGUUAACGACUUAGACUUUAGAUCAAGUACUCUUCUCACAAGUUUAGGUUUAGAGCAAGCUUUAAAUUAUAACAGUUAUGCCUAAACUUGAGAGAGAGCUCAAAUUUGAAAACUAGAUACUUGGCAGAGCAACUAUUCAUCAUAUCCAUGUAAGAGUUUAUCAUUGGAGUUCAAUUUGGCAUAGACACUUUAUUUAUUUAUUUAUUUAGCAAACUAAGAAAAAAUUUAUAUAUAAGCAUAAAAUCUUUAUUUGGGUUUUUAUGAUUAUGCAUCUUUUUAUUAUUUGAGUAAAGUAUAAACGCGAGUAGAAACACUUAGGUGGAUAAAUGGGGGUGCUCUCCCCCAAGCUGGAUUUUGACGUAAUUUCUUCUGAUGUAGCUAGCAGGUGGCGGAGGUGUAUUUGAAUGUCGGCAGCACCCUAACAGCGAUUAGGAUAUCCUCCAUCUGCUAGUCUUCUUUGAUCCUUGAAUUCUGUGGAGCUCAAAUAGACAACAAAGCUUUGUGGAACUGGUUAAGUGUUAGCAUAAAAUCUCUUAGCCUUUAUCAUAUUGAGAUUCCACCUAAUAAAUGUUACUCUCUUUAGUAGGAUCAUAAAUUUAUUUUUAUAUUUUUAUUUUUAUAGGACAGGAAUAUAUUUAUUUUAUUUUUACGCCACCACAGUGAAUGUACUUAUGGUUUUAUGCCAUGAGCAUACUCACAUGGGGCUUACUAUUUUUAACAUUUUUGUUUUCUUUUCGAGAUGAUAUGAACCUGAUUAACUAAGCAAACUAUUUUAAAUAAUUGAAGGGAAAAGGAUAACUACCAAGUUUACCCCUUGGCAAGGCGUUCGGUGUUUUUAAGUCCUCCGAACGGGACUCUCCGUUUUCUCAGUUGUCCUGGGAUUCGCUGGAUGGCGUAGUCGGUGGUUCCGGCGGUGCCUCCUCUUCGUGUAUAACUAUCUUCUCUCUCCACACCUGACUCGGUGCUACGGUCUCCUCAGAACAGUUCUGUUCAAGCUGUAUGUCUUCAGACCUUACCACUUCUCCUUCGUACUCUGCCCAUCCGUCCUUGAUGACUUGCCUCCUCUGGUUGCGGUUGUGUCGUCUUAUUCUUGUCCUGACUUACUUAGUGUCUUCAACUAUAUAGUUAAGGUUAGUAAAAUAGCGGUGUACCUUCUCAGAGGGGAAGUGCAUGUGGACUUCUCCGGUUCCACUAUAGAUGAUUGCUUUAACGAUGCCGAGGAACGGUCUCCCAAGGAUGAUGGGUGGAUCGUACUCGUCUUCUCCCAUAUCAAUAACCUGGGUCGUCCUUUUUUUGUCAGGAACGGUGACUUAAGUCGACGAUCUUGACCUCCUUGAGCUGCAGUGACCAUCUUAGCUGACUCGGUCCACAUUUGCUUGUUCUUGUUCCUCCUGUUGGUCCUCUUCCUUGGUUCAUGUCGGGAUUGCUCUGAAAUUUGUGUAGUCUUGUUCUUGAAGGAAACUCUCCUUCUUCCCCUUGAUGUAGAAACUGAUCUUGGCAGCACUAGCGUAGAUGACAGCUCUCGAGGUGUUCACGAAUGGCCUCCCUAGGAUGAUGGGUGCCCUCUCAUCAGUACCAGUCUUACUAUCACCAUGAAGUCUGCUGGAGCGUACAAGGUACCAACUCGGACGCAGAGGUUCUUCAAUAUUUCCUUUGGGAAACUUAGUGUCCGAUCUGCAAGCUGAGUAGUUAGGCCUCUGUUGAUUCCAACCUUGAUUUUGUUGAGGACGGUUGUAGUAGUAGUAGUAGUUGUUGAUGUAAUUUAUGUCCUCAAGCAUCGCAGGGCAGUGGUUGUCUGAGUGUCCACUAUCUCUAGUGUGUUUGUGCUCGUAGAUCCACGUUCUUCACUUGGUGGAGUCUGGGAGUUGUAAAACUCCUUCGUAUUUUGCUCGAAGUGUACCUGCUCAUAAAGACAAGGCAGAGAUCAAGUGCAUGGGCCCUGUUGGUGAAAAACACUAACAGAACCAAAAGUGUAUUUGUUCUUCUCUAACCUUAAGCACAGAGAGCAAGACAAAGUUGAUGAAUAAUAAGAUCAUGAGUGUAGCAUUUAAAACAUUUGUCAGAUCAGAUCGCUCGACCUAAUGGAAAGAUAAUCUAUCUAUAUUUAUGUUUUGUUUAUAUCUUCCAAAGAUUGAAUGUGCAACAUUUUAGCUUAUAUGAUUAGGAGUGUGGGAUUACGAAGGUAGUACUAAGAACAAAGAUUAAAGGACUAAACAUGUUGAAUUAAUUGUGUUGGUUAAUUUGGAGUUACAAUUCAUACAUGUUUGUCUCUUUUAUUCAUGUGAACGCCAGAACUAAGGAGAAGCUUAUAAAACCGAUAGUCAAGUACCUUAAGAUGUUACCUUACUUGAAGAGUGAUGGUACAGUAUCACCUUGUGGAAGCUUUCCUUUCUUAGCGGUUGUGCAUCAUGUUUGUGGCACCCUCCAUGCAUCAUCUCUUAUGAGCUAUGUCUUUCUUGUGUAAAUUGUUAAACUUCAUGUAUCUCUCUCUUUGUCUCCAAUGUGAGUUUAUCUUAGGACUUCCCAGGUCGAUAUUGAAAGUCUUCCUGCAGGGGUUAGUCCAACAAAAUAUCCCAUAUCUACUAUAGCAUACUAUCGGCUCAAAAAUCAACCUAGACACCAUGUCUAAUUUGAUUUAGGAGGGCAUUUUAGCCUAAGCACCAUGCUUAAUUUAAAAACCCUUGGAAGUAAGAUCAUCAUUCCUAAACUAAGCACUAUGCUUAAUUAAGAGAUAAAUGAAACUACUCCAAACCUAGAUAUAUACUAAAGCAAAUAAAGGUAGCAUGAGAGCAUUUAUAGAGAUCUACUCAAGUGGAGAUGAAGUAGUGUGAUUAGUAUUUAACAAAUUGAGUAUGUCUCAAAGAUAGGGACAACCAACAUAGCAACAUGGCAAAGGAUGUUUUUAUGUAAAGUACUCCCCCAAGCUUGAAUUUUGCAAAAUUCAAGUUUGGAUGAAUUUAAUUUAAUGUUGUAUGAUGAUUGGUUGGACAUACCUUGUGCUUGUCAUUCAUCCGAUCUUCUUGCUUCAAUCCUGGAAAGGUUAGUGACAAGAAUACCCGAAGGAAUAUUUUUACAAUUAUCCUUAUAUGCUCAAUACACAAGGUAAUGUUGCAAAUGAUUAAAAGCUCAUGUUACGAUCUGAUCAGUGCUUAUUUUAGGAUACUAAGCUUGUCCUUAAGAAACUAUCAAUUUAUGUCGGCGAAGUGGUUUCCCCUCCAACGCUGACCUAUAUCAAGAUCAACUCAACGAGAUCUGCAAUAUUUAUUAUAGAUAUAUGCAUCGACAACCGCCCUUUUAAAGUUUUUAUAAAUAGAAAGGAAGAGGGGGUUGGAGAUCUCAAAUGUGGUGAUGUUGGAGAGACCAAUAGAUUGGGAAGAUGUUGCAUAUGAGCAUGGAGUAAACGAAGUGGCUAUGAAAUAAAUUCCAUGCUCAUUAAUGUUAUUUUCGUCUCCAAUCUGAUUGUUUGGAGUUUUUCCUAGAUUGGUCUCGCCUAUGUCCUCUUCUGUAGUUGGAUGAAUCUCAUCUUCAAAGGGAGUCAAGAACUCACCAUUUGAAAUUGAGCCAAAGUCAGAAUCCAUUAAGGCUUCUUCCUUGUCCAUCCACUCAAUGGUGUUAGCACAUGGAUUCUGCACUUCUCGAUCCUCCUUAUGGUCUUGGUGAAUCUAAUGCAUGGGAUGUCUAGAGAGAUUCAUAGGGUCAUCGGGAGGUUCAAGAGAAAGAGCAUAGUAGAAAUUAUUAGGCUCAAGGAUGGGUUUAAAGAUAGGUUCGAAUGAGUCAUCAAAAGUGGGCGUAGAAGGGGAGAAGAUGAGAUUGUCUUCUAAAUGGCUUCGCUCUCCUUCUAUUGCAUCACUUAAGAUGCCAUCCUUGAGUCUUUCUAGAUGUCCAUCAAAGGGAUUGGAUUUGAGAUGCUUUCUAAGAGAUCCCUUCUUAGGAAGGUUCAGACUGUAUGCACUCAAAGGUCUCUUAUGAAGCAGGAAGUUUAAGCUCGUCCCAAAAUGAAUUUCCAAAGGUAGAAUUUCUUCUUCUCUUAGAUUAUUUUGGAGCACUACAAGUUUGGGUUGGAUAGCCGAAUCAUGGGAUUGAAAUGUUUGGAAAUCGGCUAUUGAAACUUCCUUUCCUCGUCUGGGAGAUAAUUCCUUCUCUAUCUCUAGGAUUUUUUUAUGAAGACUAGUGCAAGAAGGAUGUCCACGAAUGAAGACAUACCUUGCUUUACUAACAGAUAAAGAAAGAAAAACUCUACCAACGGUUAUAUGAUUAAGACCAAUGUGAAAAUAUUGAGGAAAAACAUGGUCUUGUAGGGCUAGGUUUAAACCAGAAUUUAUAGAAAGAUUAAUAGAUUCCCUAGGUGUAGCUAAAAGUUCAUUAUCUUCUUGAUUAAAAGAUAGGACCUCACCUAUAGAAAAGGGUUGGUUUUGACCUAUUGCAAUCAACUCCGGACACAGAUCAUAAUUAGGGGCAAAGAAAGGACUUGUUGACUCCCAUGGUCUAUGGCUGGUCUCCGAAGGUGCAAAAAAUUCAAUAAUAGGUGUGGAAUUUGAGUUAUCCAUAAAGAUGGAAAAAAUAAAAAGAUAAAAGAAUAAAAGUAUAAAAGUAUAAUACAAGAUAAUAGCAAGACUUAAAGUUAUCUCAACAAACCGUCUUUCUCCGCAGCAACGGCGCUAGAAAUGCUUGUUGAUAUUUGGUAACGCCAUCAGGAAAUGAUCCGCAAGCGCACGGAUAUCGGUGAUCACUUCACCCAGGAGGUUAUCCAGAGUAUCGUAUUUAAAUUUUUACCACUGGGAGAAAGCGUGCAUCUGACUAACCAAAUCUAUUGCUACUACCCUUUAGGCUACAAACAAUGUGACUCGAUGUGAGUGAUGUAUAGAGAAGACUACAACCGCACUCUCGUUCUAACCUUGGUAAGGAUGAUCUACUGUUCUAUUGGGGAGGCUCACGGAAUCUAGACACCACAAAGGAUGUUCGACCCGCACCUAUAAACCCUAUCAAUCCUGCUAAUGGGAUAUGGGCUAC